AUGAAUACAUGGGAUGAAGUUAGGUUGAGAAAGCUAAGCAAAAAUCAGACAAUUGAUGAUGAUAUGGAAAGGGAGAUUGCAAAGGACAAGGAGCGUUGGAGACAAGUUUUGGUAAGAAUGGUUUCUGCUGUGAAGUUUCUUGCAAAACAUACUUUGGUUUUUCGUGGAUCGAAUGAGAGGUUAUAUCAAGAUAAUAAUGGUAAUUUUUUGGGCACGAUUGAAAUGAUUGCUGAAUUUGAUCCUGAUAUGCAAGAACACGCCCGACGCAAUCAAAAUAGUGAAAUUCAUCAUCACUAUCUUGGCCACAAAAUCCAGAAUGAGUUGAUAUAAGUUCUUGCUGAUGCUGUAAGAAAGGUUAUUUUAAAGAUCAUCAAAGAUGCCAAGUAUUUUUCUGUUAUCUUGGAUUGUACCUCGGAUAGCCAUGAAGAACAAAUGACUCUCAUUGUGCGUUGUGUCAAUAUGUCAAGCAACCUUCCGAGAGUGGAGGAGUUUUUCCUAGAGUUCCUAAAGGUUGAUGACACAUCGGGAUUGGGGCUUUUGAAGGUAUUGAUGGAUACAUUGAGUUCGUUUGAUCUGAAUGUUGCUAAUGUGAGAGGUCAAGGUUAUGAUAAUGGUUCCAACAUGAAAGGACAAUACCAAGGUGUUCAGAGUCGCUUCCUUAAAGAAAACCUCAAAGCAUUGUAUAUGCCAUGUGCAUGUCAUAGUUUGAAUCUCACUCUUUGUGAUAUGACAAAAUCUUGCAAACAAGCUAUUACAUUCUUUGGUAUUAUACAACGAAUAUACAUGUUGUUUUCUGAUACGUCUCCAACGUAUCUAUAA
RNAcentral lists this ribosomal RNA (819 nucleotides) under Triticum aestivum (bread wheat). Its description in RNAcentral is "partial small subunit ribosomal RNA". The record is from RNAcentral. Lineage: Eukaryota; Viridiplantae; Streptophyta; Magnoliopsida; Poales; Poaceae.